UCUCUUUCCCUACACGACGCUUUUCCGAGGUCCCCAUUUGUUGAAAAGUCGAUCAUUUCCCCAUUGAAUGGUCUUGGCACUCUUACCAAAAUUGGGACUUAUUGGACUAUAUAUGCAAAGAUUCAUUUCUGGGCUGUCUAUCCAAUUGGUCUACUCUUUCCUUAUGCCAUUAACACUCUUGAUUAUUGCAGCUUUGUGCUGUUUCAGUAUAAGGAAGUUCAUGUAUCACUUUUUAAACUUACUCUACCUCUUCCUUUAGUUCUUUCAUCAUCUCUGAGAUGGUUGUUUUAAAGUCUUCAUCUAGAUAUCUGCUAUCAGGUCUUUUUCAGGGACAGUCUAUUUUCCCUUUGAACGGGCGCUACUUUCCUGUUUUUAGAAUGCCUUGUGAUUUUUUUGUUGCAAACUAGAUAUCUGAAUAAUGUGGUAUCUCUGGCAGAUUAUUCUUCUUUCCUAGGGUUUUUUUUUUUUUUUAAUUGUUGUAAAUGAUCUCUGUGCCAAGGAUUAGCCUGAUGUGUAAACUUACUGUUUUCUCAGGUCUUUUCUGAGCCUGUGCCUUUUCUUGGACACGAGUGAUCACUUUCAACUUUUCCCUGUAUA
Molecule: long non-coding RNA, 597 nt
Organism: Herpailurus yagouaroundi (jaguarundi)
Lineage: Eukaryota; Metazoa; Chordata; Mammalia; Carnivora; Felidae
Exons: 4
Source: RefSeq, a predicted model, not a curated record